RNAcentral lists this long non-coding RNA (205 nucleotides) under Prunus persica (peach). Its description in RNAcentral is "long non-coding RNA (PPER_LNC002367)". Lineage: Eukaryota; Viridiplantae; Streptophyta; Magnoliopsida; Rosales; Rosaceae. The record is from RNAcentral.
CGAGUUAUUACUUAUGUACUUUAAUUUUUGAGUUUACUACGACGGUACCUACAACACUACUGUCGUAUUUAUUUACCACGUCCGAAGUUAAAUGUACCGUCGCAUUUUGUAAUUUAUACGUCGUAGUUAUAUGUAACCGCCGUAUUAUUUUUUUGAAAUGGUUUUAUAUGUAAGCAACUUUUCGUCUACCUGACAUACACAUGCG